This 257-nucleotide ribosomal RNA is filed under the name uncultured bacterium. RNAcentral describes it as "partial 16S ribosomal RNA". It matches the Rfam family "Bacterial small subunit ribosomal RNA", at positions 524 to 777 of the family's 1533-position model. The record is from RNAcentral.
GACGAACCGUACGAACGUUAUUCGGAAUCACUGGGCUUAAAGGGUGCGUAGGCGGCGCGAACAAGUUGGGUGUGAAAUCCCUCGGCUCAACCGAGGAACUGCGCCCAAAACUGUCGUGCUCGAGGGAAGACAGAGGUGAGCGGAACUUAGGGUGGAGCGGUGAAAUGCGUUGAUAUCCUAAGGAACACCGGGUGGCGAAAGCGGCUCACUGGGUCUCUUCUGACGCUGAGGCACGAAAGCUAGGGUAGCGAACGGGG